UAGGGAGUCUUCCACAAUGGACGAAAGUCUGAUGGAGCAACGCCGCGUGAGUGAAGAAGGGUUUCGGCUCGUAAAACUCUGUUGUUAAAGAAGAACAUAUCUGAGAGUAACUGUUCAGGUAUUGACGGUAUUUAACCAGAAAGCCACGGCUAACUACGUGCCAC
RNAcentral lists this ribosomal RNA (164 nucleotides) under uncultured bacterium. RNAcentral's name for it is "partial 16S rRNA". It matches the Rfam family "Bacterial small subunit ribosomal RNA", at positions 355 to 511 of the family's 1533-position model. The record is from RNAcentral.